AAAUUGAAGAGUUUGAUCAUGGCUCAGAUUGAACGCUGGCGGCAGGCCUAACACAUGCAAGUCGAACGGUAACAGGAAGCAGCUUGCUGCUUCGCUGAUGAGUGGCGGACGGGUGAGUAAUGUCUGGGAAACUGCCUGAUGGAGGGGGAUAACUACUGGAAACGGUAGCUAAUACCGCAUAACGUCGCAAGACCAAA
Molecule: ribosomal RNA, 197 nt
Filed under: Escherichia coli
Lineage: Bacteria; Pseudomonadati; Pseudomonadota; Gammaproteobacteria; Enterobacterales; Enterobacteriaceae
Description: partial 16S ribosomal RNA
Rfam family: Bacterial small subunit ribosomal RNA
Source: RNAcentral